CGGACGGGUGAGUAACACGUGGGUAACCUAUCUAUAAGACUGGAAUAACUCCGGGAAACCGGGGCUAAUGCCGGAUAACAUGUUGAACCGCAUGGCUCUACAGUGAAAGGCGGCUUUGCUGUCACUUAUAGAUGGACCCGCGCCGUAUUAGCUAGUUGGUGAGGUAACGGCUCACCAAGGCAACGAUACGUAGCCGACCUGAGAGGGUGAUCGGCCACACUGGAACUGAGACACGGUCCAG
RNAcentral lists this ribosomal RNA (241 nucleotides) under uncultured Staphylococcus sp. RNAcentral's name for it is "partial 16S ribosomal RNA". It matches the Rfam family "Bacterial small subunit ribosomal RNA", at positions 99 to 334 of the family's 1533-position model. Lineage: Bacteria; Bacillati; Bacillota; Bacilli; Caryophanales; Staphylococcaceae. The record is from RNAcentral.